GGAAGCGGCCGUAAGAACAGAUGAAGCUUCACUAGCUCCCCAGCCGCUCGUCUCCUGCUGUGUGGCCUGAGAUCAAUACUGGCCAACACAUGAUGGGACAUUUUUCUUGACCCUCUCCAAUGUGAAUUACUUCCUUUUAUAUGGAAGAUUGUGAGCCCUUUGAAGACCUGAUGGAAGCUAUUGGACAGUAGAAGACACAGAGUGUACAUGCAGAAUAACUGUUGAUUGUGCUGGGAGUGCAACAACUUGAGAUAAGAAGGAACUGGCUGGAACAGUCCAAGGUCUCUCCCUGUCCCUCCUAGAACAAGAUGUCCUGCAACACUUGUGCUCAGUGAGUCAACUUCCCCUAGGUAUAAAACCUAGAGUGGAGCAUCUUUUGGCGUCCCUUGGCUGUGGUGCUGCCUAGGGCAUGUGCAGAUGGACUCUACCCACCCUGGCCAGCUUGCCUGAGCCUUGUCGGGGAGCAGGGACCCUAGGCUCCUGCUGUCCCCUGAUGCCGAUCCGCGAAUAAUAAAGUUGCUUUUCUUAA
Homo sapiens (human) is the source of this 529-nucleotide long non-coding RNA. The record is from Ensembl. Lineage: Eukaryota; Metazoa; Chordata; Mammalia; Primates; Hominidae.